UACGGGGGGAGCAAGCGUUGUUCGGAUUUACUGGGCGUAAAGGGCGCGUAGGCGGUCAGCACAAGUCAGUUGUGAAAUCUCCGGGCUUAACUCGGAAAGGUCAACUGAUACUGUGCGACUAGAGUGCAGAAGGGGCAACUGGAAUUCUCGGUGUAGCGGUGAAAUGCGUAGAUAUCGAGAGGAACACCUGCGGCGAAGGCGGAUCUCUGGACAGUUACUGACACUGAGGCACGAAGGCCAGGGGAGCAAACGGG
This 254-nucleotide ribosomal RNA is filed under the name uncultured bacterium. RNAcentral's name for it is "partial 16S ribosomal RNA". It matches the Rfam family "Bacterial small subunit ribosomal RNA", at positions 524 to 776 of the family's 1533-position model. The record is from RNAcentral.